This 378-nucleotide ribosomal RNA is filed under the name uncultured bacterium. RNAcentral describes it as "bacterial SSU rRNA". It matches the Rfam family "Bacterial small subunit ribosomal RNA", at positions 28 to 429 of the family's 1533-position model. The record is from RNAcentral.
GAUGAACGCUGGCGGUAUGCCUAACACAUGCAAGUCGUACGAGAGUUUUUAACUCUAGUGGCGGACGGGUGAGUAACACGUGAGAAUUUGCCUUUAGGAGGGGGACAACAAUUGGAAACGAAUGCUAAUACCCCAUAUGCUUUCGAGUGAAAUGGAUUUUAUCCGCCUAGAGAGAAGCUCGCGGCUGAUUAGCUUGUUGGUAAGGUAAGAGCUUACCAAGGCGACGAUCAGUAUCUGGUUUGAGAGGACGGAUCAGACACACUGGAACUGAGACACGGUCCAGACUCCUACGGGAGGCAGCAGUGGGGAAUUUUCCGCAAUGGCGAAAGCCUGACGGAGGCAAUACCGCGUGAGGGAAGAAUGCCUAUGGGUUGUAAA